Arachis duranensis is the source of this 1025-nucleotide long non-coding RNA. RefSeq lists it as uncharacterized. The record is from RefSeq and is a predicted model, not a curated record. The transcript is spliced from 2 exons. Lineage: Eukaryota; Viridiplantae; Streptophyta; Magnoliopsida; Fabales; Fabaceae.
CCAUCCGCUUAUUGUUGUGCCUGUGAGAGAGAGAGAGGGAGAGAGAGAGAGAGAUUUCAAGCUCCAAACUUUCUUUGUUCAGCAAUAUCAAUUCGAUGUUGUUCCUCAUAUUUAAGAUCUGGAUUGGACAUACGUGUCAUCCAGUUUGCAUCAACAACCUAAAAAUGAAGAGAGAGAGAGAGAGUGAGAGAGAUUGAUUUUGUUUGUGUCAAAACUAGUUUCUUGCUUCUAGAUUAUGGCAUUAGUUUUAUACAUAUAUGUAAUUAUUUUUCCUAUAUAUUUUUUCCUCAUCUCUUUGUCUCUAAAGUCUAAUCUUUCUCAACUCAUAUGAUGAUGCACUUCUUGUUAUGCUUCUUUAUUUCUUUUUUUCACUCUUAAUUUUCUCCCUUUUACUUGUACGGAUGCAGGUUCUUUGUCUCAAACCCUAAUUUUUUUUACCAAAUAAUUAUUGGUUUUGUUUUUGAGCAUAUGAUGCACACAUAUAGGUUUUGUUUUCCUUUCCAUUAAUGUAUAUAUAUAACUCUUUGACUCUCUUUUCAUCAGAUCUGUAAAAUUAUGAGUUUUCUUUUCUUUCCUUUUCCCCCAAUUUUUUCAUCCUGGGAAGUUUCUAAAUUUGGGAAAUUAUUAAUUUGGCACAUAGAAAUUGACAGAAGAGAGUGAGCACAUAGAAAAUAUAUUGUAUAAAUUUAUGCAAUUUUUUUUGUGUGCUCACUACUCUUUCUGUCGGAUUCUGUCCAAAAAUUUGUUGUUUCUGGUUUCAACCAUUUUCUCUCUCAUAUAUCUCCCUCUCUCUCUCUCAAUGGAGCUCAAAGACAAACAUCACUGAGUGAAGCAAGUUAAUUAAUAGCUAUGUUGCGGUCGCCAUGCUUUGUGGUCGUCAUGCUCGUGUGCUCCAUGGCUGUCGUGCUUGUGUUCUCUGUUCAGUAUCGUGCUCACCAUCUCUAUAUAGAAUUUAACAUUUAAUGUUUAUAUUAUUUGUGGAAUGAUUGUAUUAUAUAGAAUUUUUAAUUUGCUUACUCGUUAAA